This 451-nucleotide ribosomal RNA is filed under the name uncultured bacterium. RNAcentral's name for it is "partial 16S ribosomal RNA". It matches the Rfam family "Bacterial small subunit ribosomal RNA", at positions 354 to 796 of the family's 1533-position model. The record is from RNAcentral.
GUGGGGAAUAUUGGACAAUGGGGGGAACCCUGAUCCAGCCAUGCCGCGUGUGUGAAGAAGGCCUUUUGGUUGUAAAGCACUUUAAGCGAGGAGGAGGCUACCGAGAUUAAUACUCUUGGAUAGUGGACGUUACUCGCAGAAUAAGCACCGGCUAACUCUGUGCCAGCAGCCGCGGUAAUACAGAGGGUGCAAGCGUUAAUUGGAUUUACUGGGCGUAAAGCGCGCGUAGGGUGCCAAUUAAGUCAAAUGUGAAAUCCCCGAGCUGAACUUGGGAAAUGCAUUCGAUACUGGUUGGCUAGAGUAUGGGAGAGGAUGGUAGAAUUCCAGGUGUAGCGGUGAAAUGCGUAGAGAUCUGGAGGAAUACCGAUGGCGAAGGCAGCCAUCUGGCCUAAUACUGACACUGAGGUGCGAAAGCAUGGGGAGCAAACAGGAUUAGAUACCCCGGUAGUCC